CCUACACGACCGUACCGCAAACCGACACUGGUGCGCGAGAUGAGUAUUCUAAGGCGCUUGAGAGAACUCAGGAGAAGGAACUCGGCAAAUUGACACCGUAACUUCGGAAGAAGGUGUGCCUUUAGUAGGUGAACCUGUACAAGGGGAGCCCAAUGAGGUUGCAAAAAAUCGGUGGCUGCGACUGUUUAAUAAAAACACAGCACUCUGCAAACACGAAAGUGGACGUAUAGGGUGUGACGCCUGCCCGGUGCUGGAAGAUUAAAUGAUGGGGUGCAAGCUCUUGAUUGAAGUCCCAGUAAACGGCGGCCGUAACUAUAACGGUCCUAAGGUAGCGAAAUUCCUUGUCGGGUAAGUUCCGACCUGCACGAAUGGCGUAACGAUGGCCACACUGUCUCCUCCUGAGACUCAGCGAAGUUGAAAUGUUUGUGAUGAUGCAAUCUCCCCGCGGAAAGACGGAAAGACCCCAUGAACCUUUACUGUAGCUUUGUAUUGGACUUUGAACAGAUCUGUGUAGGAUAGGUGGGAGGCUUUGAAGUGUGGUCGCUAGAUCGCAUGGAGCCAACGUUGAAAUACCACCCUGGUGUGUUUGAGGUUCUAACCUAGGCCCGUAAUCCGGGUCGGGGACAGUGCAUGGUAGGCAGUUUGACUGGGGCGGUCUCCUCCCAAAGCGUAACGGAGGAGUUCGAAGGUACGCUAGGUACGGUCGGACAUCGUGCUAAUAGUGCAAUGGCAUAAGCGUGCUUAACUGCGAGACUGACAAGUCGAGCAGAUGCGAAAGCAGGACAUAGUGAUCCGGUGGUUCUGUAUGGAAGGGCCAUCGCUCAACGGAUAAAAGGUACUCUGGGGAUAACAGGCUGAUACCGCCCAAGAGUUCAUAUCGACGGCGGUGUUUGGCACCUCGAUGUCGGCUCAUCUCAUCCUGGGGCUGUAGCCGGUCCCAAGGGUAUGGCUGUUCGCCAUUUAAAGAGGUACGUGAGCUGGGUUUAAAACGUCGUGAGACAGUUUGGUCCCUAUCUUCCGUGGGCGCUGCAGAUUUGAGGAAGCCUGCUCCUAGUACGAGAGGACCGGAGUGGACACACCUCUGGUGUAUCGGUUGUCACGCCAGUGGCAUUGCCGAGUAGCUAUGUGUGGAAGAGAUAACCGCUGAAAGCAUCUAAGCGGGAAACUCGUUUCAAGAUGAGAUCUGCCGGGGCCUUGAGCCCCCUAAAGAGUCGUUCAAGACCAGGACGUUGAUAGGUCGGGUGUGGAAGCGCAGUAAUGCGUUAAGCUAACCGAUACUAAUUGCUCGUGCGGCUUGACCUA
Molecule: ribosomal RNA, 1302 nt
Filed under: metagenome
Description: bacterial LSU rRNA
Rfam family: Bacterial large subunit ribosomal RNA
Source: RNAcentral